GGGGUACAAAAGCUUAUCCAGCAACAGCCAGUAUAUAAAAAUGAAUCUCAGCAUUCAAUUCAAGAAGACGACAAUUACGCAAUCACCAUCAGUAAAUAGGAGGUAACAGCAGGAGAGCAAGGCCAAAGGCAGCUGAAGAAAACCUCAUAAUUCCGUCUUUGAUCAUGCUGCAGUUGAACAAUUCUCCCAAGACCCAUACUUUGAGCUGAAGGUUCCUCCUCCACUUUGUUG
Molecule: unclassified non-coding RNA, 231 nt
Filed under: Hevea brasiliensis (rubber tree)
Lineage: Eukaryota; Viridiplantae; Streptophyta; Magnoliopsida; Malpighiales; Euphorbiaceae
Source: RNAcentral